ACAAAGUUUUGGUCCUAAACUUGCCGUUGUUUUUAAUCAAGAUUACACAUGCAAGCCUCCACACACCAGUGAAAAUGCCCACACCCCUUAAGUAGAAGCCGGAGCAGGUAUCAGGAUCAACCAAAUCGUUUAGCCAAAGACACCUUGCCACGCCACACCCCCACGGGCCAUCAGCAGUGAUUAACAUUAAUACAUGAGCGAAAGCUCGACUUGGCUAUGAUUAAGUAUGGUCGGUAAAUUUCGUGCCAGCCACCGCGGUUAUACGAAAGACUAAAAACAACGACCGCCCGGCGUAAAGCGUGACUAAAGUACAAUCAAACAUUUAAAGGAAAACAACCGGAAAGCCGUAAAACGCUACUACAAGUUGGAACUAAUACGACCACCCGCCUUUAAACAAAAGAUCCCUUGACCUCACGAAAGCCAAGACACAAACUGGGAUUAGAUACCCCACUAUGCCUGGCCAUAAACACAGACAAUACAAACACAAUAUUGUUCGCCAGAGAACUACAAAUGAAAAGCUCGAAACUCCAAGGACUUGGCGGUGCUCCACAUCUCCCUAGAGGAGCCUGUCCUAUAAUCGAUACCCCACGUUAAACCUUACCACCCAUAGCCCACAGCCUAUAUACCGCCGUCGCAAGCCUACCUUAUGAAAGCAAAACAGUAGGCGAAACAGUUAAUAACUAACACGUCAGGUCAAGGUGUAGCAUAUGGGGUGGAAGAGAUGGGCUACAUUUUCUACUUUAGAGCACACAAACGGAACAAUGAAACACGUACCCGAAGGUGGAUUUAGCAGUAAGAUAAACAAGCAAUGGUAUCUUAAACCCGCUCUGGAGCGCGCACACACCGC
This 847-nucleotide non-coding RNA is filed under the name Janetaescincus braueri. RNAcentral describes it as "partial 12S ribosomal RNA". It matches the Rfam family "Bacterial small subunit ribosomal RNA". Lineage: Eukaryota; Metazoa; Chordata; Lepidosauria; Squamata; Scincidae. The record is from RNAcentral.